Molecule: non-coding RNA, 135 nt
Organism: Xyrichtys novacula (pearly razorfish)
Lineage: Eukaryota; Metazoa; Chordata; Actinopteri; Labriformes; Labridae
Source: the annotation of a GenBank genome assembly
GAGAGUGCAAGAGUGAGAGAGUGCGAGGGAGAAGUGGAGAGGGAGGGAUUAAGCAAAGAUUAUUGAUGAAUUAGCCCAGCUCUCCUUCCCUUCUCCUCCUCUUUUUCCUCCCUCCCUCCCUCCCUUCUCCCUCCC